GGAAACACCACUGCACAAAAUGCUUUUCCUCCCAGCUGCUGCUCUGUGCUGUCUGUGUUCAGCACUGGUUACCAUGGCAGCACAGCUGUUUCAGGAUGAUUCGGAACUGAUCAAGAGAGUAGGAGAAAGUGUCUCCAUCGGCUGUGAUGGGACUGAACAGUGUGCUAACAGCUAUGUAUACUGGUACCAGAAGAAAGAGAGAGAGACAUUCAAAUACAUACGUUAUACCAGUGUUUUGACACUAGAGAACAUCAGACCUGCUGAUUCAGCUACCUACUACUGCUCCUUCUGUCUCACUGUGGGAGGAAGAUACUACUACAUCUUUGGCUCUGGAACUAAACUGUCUGUAACAGAUGGAAACCAGAAAAGAACGACAAAGGCACCGAGAGUUCAUGCAAACACACAGCAGAGCCCCACCCGACCAGCAGGACCCAGAGUCCACCUGGAGGGGAACAGCUCCCUGCUGUGUGUGCCCCCAGCCAUGUUUCCUCCUCUGGUCCAGCUGUCUUGUAAAAGACAGAAGAAGAACGGUGGAGAAGCGGAGGAGCUGCCCCCUGCUGAUGGAGAGCAGCUGGGACUGAUCCAUCAGAACAGCACAUAUAAAUGUAACUGCUACGUGAAGCACGAGGGGGGCACAGUGGAGGCCCAAACACAACAAGAGGUUCCAGCUCCAGCAGCCUCCUGUCCUCCAGAGAGAGAGCCAGCAGACCUGCCAGCUCUGCAGCCAGCUGACUGUAAGAUCACCUGCUGCCUCUCUGCAUGGACAGCUCCAAUGUCCAAUGAGGGAGCUGGAACAAGUUUAGGGACUCAGUCUUAAAGUGUCACUAAUUGAUCAAAUCUUCAUCCAACAAGCUCUGAUAAAGCCACUGUACACUAGCUGCUCAGCACCAAACAGCAGACAGACCAUAAUAUGUCAGAGAUCAGUUUGUUAGCUGCUUGUGGAGUUCUUCUGCCCC
Long non-coding RNA from Oreochromis aureus, 956 nucleotides. The record is from Ensembl. NCBI's taxonomy places the organism in Eukaryota, Metazoa, Chordata, Actinopteri, Cichliformes, Cichlidae.